This 22-nucleotide non-coding RNA is filed under the name Mus musculus (house mouse). The record is from RNAcentral. Lineage: Eukaryota; Metazoa; Chordata; Mammalia; Rodentia; Muridae.
UAACAAGGUUUCAGAUUCUCAG